GNGGAUUUAGCUUAAUUAAAGUGAUUGAUUUGCGUUCAGUUGAUGUAAGAUAUAAUCUUGCAAUCCUUA
Molecule: transfer RNA, 69 nt
Filed under: Tragelaphus scriptus (bushbuck)
Lineage: Eukaryota; Metazoa; Chordata; Mammalia; Artiodactyla; Bovidae
Description: tRNA-Ala
Rfam family: tRNA
About the family: Transfer RNA (tRNA) molecules are approximately 80 nucleotides in length.
Source: RNAcentral